UGGUGGCUUCAAGCUGGUAAUUAAAGGUACAUCGCGACAGGGCGAAUUCAAUGCACUACAUGAUCCUGGAGACUUCAUUUGCAAUCCAUUGUUACUGGAUUCUAUAAUAAAGGGAGGUAUCAUCAGAGACAAUCCGGUGGCUGAAAAACUCUUAAUGACAGAUCUUGCCCGUUGACCACCAAGAGUAUUGCUUUUGUGAUUUUUCGACAUGCUUGAAGUACUUGGUGAGGGUGGUAAAGUGGGACAUAGAUUAGCAGUCACAGAUUUCACUGAACAAUUGAGGGAAGAUAAUCUGAAACUCAUCCAUAAUUUAACAGUAUUCAAAUAAUAUUAGUACAUUAAUAUUAAAUAAAAUGUACUGUUAAAACUAUUAGAAGAUACAAUGAAUCAAUUCAGAGGAUAUUUUAUCUUUAUAUUAGUAUUACAAUCACCACUAUAUUAUUCAACUGAAUUUAUAAAAAAAUUAUUGGUAGAAUCGUAUUAAACUGGGUUAAAAUCUAAAUGGUAAAUUAAAAACCAAGAUGUUUAAUUAAUAGUUUUUUAAAAAAUAAAAUAUUUCUGUUAA
Myzus persicae (green peach aphid) is the source of this 565-nucleotide long non-coding RNA. RefSeq lists it as uncharacterized. NCBI's taxonomy places the organism in Eukaryota, Metazoa, Arthropoda, Insecta, Hemiptera, Aphididae. The transcript is spliced from 3 exons. The record is from RefSeq and is a predicted model, not a curated record.